UACAGGGGGUGCGAGCGUUAAUCGGAAUUACUGGGCGUAAAGCGCGCGUAGGCGGCUUUGCAAGCCGGAUGUGAAAUCCCCGGGCUUAACCUGGGAACUGCAUUCGGGACUGCAUUGCUAGAGUAUGGGAGAGGGAAGUGGAAUUUCAGGUGUAGCGGUGAAAUGCGUAGAUAUCUGAAGGAACAUCAGUGGCGAAAGCGACUUCCUGGACCAAUACUGACGCUCAUGCGCGAAAGCGUGGGGAGCAAACAGG
This 253-nucleotide ribosomal RNA is filed under the name uncultured bacterium. RNAcentral describes it as "partial 16S ribosomal RNA". It matches the Rfam family "Bacterial small subunit ribosomal RNA", at positions 524 to 776 of the family's 1533-position model. The record is from RNAcentral.